Molecule: long non-coding RNA, 304 nt
Filed under: Elaeis guineensis (African oil palm)
Lineage: Eukaryota; Viridiplantae; Streptophyta; Magnoliopsida; Arecales; Arecaceae
Description: long non-coding RNA (EGUI_LNC039958)
Source: RNAcentral
UCUAUCCAGCUAUCCAGUGAAGAUCUCAAGUUUCCAUGCAUAAGCAUCUGCCUUCAUCCUUAUUGAGUCUAAAAAUGACAUUGUGGAUUCAAAUAUCUCCUUUCAUUGGGUACAUACAUGUUAUUCUGCCCAAUAGACUUCGUUGCCCCCAGUUGCUAAUGAACCAUCAAGGAUCCUAUACAACUAAGAAUUGGAGCUUAAAUGAUGUGUAAACCUCUACUCCACUAUCUUCUGACACAAGUGAAGGAAGAAAGGGAGAGAGGAAGAGGAAGAGGAAGAAGUAGAGGAGGGAAGAGAGGAGAAG